This is a non-coding RNA of Peromyscus maniculatus bairdii (prairie deer mouse), 2637 nucleotides long. The record is from RefSeq and is a predicted model, not a curated record. Lineage: Eukaryota; Metazoa; Chordata; Mammalia; Rodentia; Cricetidae.
GUGAGACCGGAAGCGUGGAGGCCAGAAGCGUGGAAGAGGUCGUGUCUUCCUCAGCUGUCUAUUAUUGGUGUGAUAAAGACCAUGACCAAAAGCAACUCGGUGCCCCAGGAGGAUGUGUCACCCAGCACAUCAGCCCUAACCUUACGUGCUCAGUGUCCACACUGAUGGGCAGCUCUUGGCUGCCCAGGUUCUCCAUACUGCACAGGGAAGGAAUGUUUCCACCAUUGAGGAAGGGUCUACUGGACCUCGCUGGAAGGUAAUUUUGAGAAGAAUGGAUGACCACGCUGGCUUUACUGUUGAAGACUACAGCAGAGAGUGUGUAAAGAAGAUGCAAGGCAAACUUCAGGGACAAGACCUUCAAGUUGCAGAAAGGAAGAAACAGCAUGUUGCUGGUGUUUUGUUCACAGCUUAUCAUUUGCUACUUAAAUCAGUGGUGGUAAAUGCUAUUGAGCACAUUGGUCUGAGAUGCAGUGAUGUGACUGCAAGCUGAGGAGCUUACAAAGAGCAGCACUCACAAUUCUGGAACCUGAGAAGUUCCACAUCAAAGCUCUAGCAGAUUCAGUGUCCGGCGAGCCUUCCUCCCGGGUUUGCAGAUGGCAAGUCUGGGUUGUGUCUUCCUUCAGUAGAAGAUGCAAGGGGCUGGGGGCAGAGUUAUAGACUGAAAAAUGGCCCACUGAUCUCACUGAUAAUGGCUUCAUUCUCACAGCUGGUGUUGGUGACUAGAUUUCAGUGUAUGAAUUCUAAGCAAUGUGAAUAUAGAGAUAUCAUUGAAGCAUGGAAUUGUCAUGAAAAGGGAACCCCUGAUAUGGAAAGCUUUCAGCCAAGUGUCUGGGGACACUGGCAAGAGCAACUGCUCGCAACAUAGGGGUCUAACAUCUCUGCACUGUGCUCACCCUGCAUUGGUGGUUCAGUCUAGAGUCCAGUGGGGCAGCAAUUCCAUCAAUUCUCUUCUCUCUCUCCCACACUUGCUAAAUGGCCACAACCCAACCUGAGCUCCACCCUCAGUGCCUCGCACAUGCCCCUCCCAGUUGUCUGUCCCCAAACUGUACUCAGUGCCAGUGUUGUUGAACAAUUUGUUUCUCUUCAUCAUCUGUUCCCUGGCCUAACCAGAUAGUAUUAAUUUCCUUUCACCUCAUCAAAAGAGAAGUUGGUUUCCUCCAUAAUUUUCUCUAUUCAGUACUACUAGAUCAUGACCUGUGCUGGUUGGCUUCUGUCAACUUGACCCAAACUAGAGUCACCUGGGAAGAGGGAACAUCAGUUGAGGAAUGAUUUCCACCAGGCUGACCAAUUAUCAGGUAUGGGGACAUUUUUCAUGGUUAAUAAUCGACAUGGGAAGGCCCAGCUAACUGGGCAGGUGGUUUAGCUUGUGUAAGAAAGCAAGCUACGAAAGCCAUAGAGAACCAAGAGGUGAGCAGUACUUGGUGUCUGCUUCAGUUUCUGCCUCUGGGCUCCUGCCUGGACUUUCCCCUUCAUAAUGGACUAUACACUGUAAAGUGAAAUAAACCUUUUCCUCCCCUAAGUUGCUUUUGGUCGUGAUGUUUUUCACAGAAAAAGAAAUCUAACUAAAACACCUUUUAGUUUAAGCUUCUUUACGACCAUUAUCAUGAAGAAAAUACUAGAAUCUGUCAAAGGCCUUUUCUGUGUCUGUUGAGACACAGUGUUGAGUCAUAAUGUGAUAAGCCUUGAGCCCAUUUACAUAAUUUAUAACAUUUAUUGCUUUGCACAGAUUAAACCAUCUCUGUAUCUCUAAAAUAAAGCUAAUUUGAUCAUAAUAAGUGACAUUUUUGAAAUUCACAAACUUGAAUCCAGUUUGUAUUUUGUUUAACAUUUUUGUAUCUAUAUUCAUCAGAGGGGUUGGUGUAUAAUGUCCUUGUUGUUGUUACACGUUGUUGUACGUGUUAAUCUGGUUGGGUAUCAGGACACUACUAACUCCAUCAAGAGUUUGGCAGUGUUCCAUCCUUUCCUGUUUUAUGGAUAAGUUUGAGGACCAUGAGUCUUAGUUAUUCCCUAAAGGUCUAGUGAAAGUCACCAGUGAAUCCAUCUGGGGCCUGUUCUUUUUUAGUUGUGAGAUUUUUUUUUUUAAAUUACUGCUUUGAUCUCACUUCUUGUUAUAGAUCUGCUUAGUUUAUCUCAUCGUGGUUUAAUUUUGGUUUGUCAUCCAGAUCUAGACAAUUUCUUGAGAAGUUUUCAACUUAGUGGAGUAUUGUUUGUAAGGUGUGAUCUAGUGGUCUUCUGAACGUCACUGAUAGCUAUCACUACGGCUCCCCUUUAGUCUCUACUGGUACCAAUUUGGGCCUUCUCGCCCUUUCUCUGGUCAGCUUAGUUAAGGUUUAUGGGUCUUCUUUAUCUUUUCAAGGAACCAACUCUUUAUUUCAUUGAUCCCUUGUAUUUUGUUGUUGUUGUUGUUAGUUUCCAUUUCAUUCAUUACUACCCUCCCUGGUCUUACAUUUCUUUCCACUUGCUGAUUUGGGGUUUGGCUUGUUCUUUUUUGACAGGGCCUUCUGGUCCAUCAUUCAGUUAUUUAUUUGAGCUCUCUAUGAUUUCUUCAUGUAGACAGUAGAGCUAUAAAAUUCCCCUUUAGAACUGCUUUCAUUGUGUUCCAAAAGUUUAGGUAAAUGCAUUUUCAUUUUCAUUGAA